AUGGCAUUAUCUAGCCUGUAUACCUCUAGGCCAGAGCAUGACUUUUCCCUCCACAGUUUUUUCGGAGGUUUUGCCACCGCUGAAGCCACCAACCACCUUGACUUGGAUUUCAAUGAAUUCCACUGGAUGAGCCAAAACGAUGCAGUGUAUGAAAUAAGAAGCGAGGUCUUCCCAGCCACUGCGUUGAACCAGACUGCCCAAACCCAGCAGCGUGUUUGUCUUGGAGCAAUGCAGGGCUCAAUACAAAUGUUACUUGACCUAGAAAAUGAGGGCUCACAAGGAAAAGGAGAAGCCUUUCAAUAUUUUGAUGAAUCUUGUGAAACGGAUGCAUUUCCUGGGAAGACUGUCAAAAGAGUAAAUUUCAGUGAUGGCUUGCCCCACUCCUACGAUUAUUCCUAUGGUCAAAAUAAUUGCCUGAUGUACAAAUAG
This 429-nucleotide long non-coding RNA is filed under the name Cairina moschata (Muscovy duck). RNAcentral's name for it is "domestica (muscovy Duck (domestic type)) lncRNA (ENSCMMG00000002734.1)". Lineage: Eukaryota; Metazoa; Chordata; Aves; Anseriformes; Anatidae. The record is from RNAcentral.